This 459-nucleotide non-coding RNA is filed under the name Micromonas commoda. Lineage: Eukaryota; Viridiplantae; Chlorophyta; Mamiellophyceae; Mamiellales; Mamiellaceae. The record is from RNAcentral.
UCGCGAGUGGGCCGAGAUCUCCACGCGGAAGGACGCGGGCCAGUCUCGCGCCUGUGAACCCUAAACCUGGGAGUAAUUUCCCGCCUGGCCGAUUUCACCGAGAGCUCGCUUUCGGCGUCAAAUAAACAGGCAACCCCCUUUGAACCGCCCGGUCGCCCGAAAGGGCUCGACCGGGGCGGGUGGUUUUCCGAAGGCGGCUUUCCACCCGCUGACCAAAAAAGAAAAAGCCGACCACCUGGAUGAGGCCCGCGCGCGCAAAUCGAGACCGAAUCCCGCGAACCGACAACUCCGUUGACAACGCCGAUCGCCGUGGGGUCGACGCGACCCAGCCAGCGCCCGGAACCCGGGCCCACUGGCUUCCCAGCGGGAACUCGAGGCGCCUCGUCGAGAGACGGGGCGUCCCCCGCGCCGUCGCGUCGCGUGCCGGGCAUCGGUCGUGCAGUGGGGGAGGUUUUUUUU